GAUGAACGCUAGCGGCAGGCCUAAUACAUGCAAGUCGAACGGUAACAGGGUAGCAAUACUGCUGACGAGUGGCGCACGGGUGAGUAACGCGUAUGCAACCUACCUUUAACUGGAGGAUAACCCCUCGAAAGAGGGACUAAUAUUCCAUAGUAAUCAGAGAAGGCAUCUUUUUUGGUUUAAAGCUCCGGCGGUUAAAGAUGGGCAUGCGUGACAUUAGUUAGUUGGUGAGGUAACGGCUCACCAAGACGAUGAUGUCUAGGGGUUCUGAGAGGAUGAUCCCCCACACUGGUACUGAGACACGGACCAGACUCCUACGGGAGGCAGCAGUAAGGAAUAUUGGGCAAUGGAGGCAACUCUGACCCAGCCAUGCCGCGUGAAGGAUGACGGCCCUAUGGGUUGUAAACUUCUUUUAUACGGGAAUAAACCCGGGUACGUGUACCCGGCUGAAUGUACCGUAAGAAUAAGGAUCGGCUAACUCCGUG
This 482-nucleotide ribosomal RNA is filed under the name uncultured organism. RNAcentral describes it as "bacterial SSU rRNA". It matches the Rfam family "Bacterial small subunit ribosomal RNA", at positions 28 to 507 of the family's 1533-position model. The record is from RNAcentral.